Molecule: long non-coding RNA, 624 nt
Filed under: Mytilus galloprovincialis (Mediterranean mussel)
Lineage: Eukaryota; Metazoa; Mollusca; Bivalvia; Mytilida; Mytilidae
Source: RNAcentral
UGGUUGAUAAUGUCCUAAAAAUGAAUUUGAAUAUAAUAAUAUGUAAAAUAACAAAAUCAGGAUAAAUUCGUUACACAGUGUUCAAUUGUCCCAAUACAGAAUUUAUCUGGUCAAUAAAAUUCAUAUCGGGUUUGGCUUCGCCUCACCCGAUAUGAAUUUUAUUGACCCGAUAAAUUCUCGUAUUAGGACAAUUGCACACUGUGUAACUAAUAGUGUAGUCAUUGAUUUUAAGAUAUAAGCAAUCAAUUUACCAAGAAGAUAUUUUGCUUUAAAAUGUAUUUUACAAUGAUUAUUAUAUGUUUAAAAAAAACAGGGAUACAAACUGUUGCUCAUAAAUAUUUUGACCAAAAUUAUGUUUUCAUUUUUAGGAUGUCAUAGUGACAUCACAAGUAACCUUUCAAUAUCCAGACCUGUUCAUUUAUCAAUAAAAUUGACUAAAUUUUGAAAGGCUUGAAUAAGUUUACUAUUUUUGCAAUAUUUUAGGGGUCAAUAAAGGCUAUUAUCAUACCUCCCCUUUUGAUAUCAUCUGUACAAAUAUUCUGUAAUGCAAAUUUUGUUUCAUAAAAUAUAAGCAAGAUUUAUUUAUUUGUUAUGAACAAAAUGUCACAAAUUAAAAUUUGAAAC